UUCAUUCUUAAAACAUUUUAAUUAACAUGGACAAAAUAAAGGCCGUUGGGAUCAAGCAUUCUGGCGUAACCCUUUGAACAUUUGAUUUUCAUCAAGUGUUCGUUGUCCAUUAAAUAAUUUUCUUAAAUAAUGCGAAUGAAAAAGGACCAUUGGAAUCUAGCAUUCCAAUGGAACCCCGAGUGAUUGAUCCCGAGGCUCAUGUCUCGUUCUCAUCAAAUAUUCGUCUUCCAAACUCAAAAUACUUAAUUCCUA
Molecule: long non-coding RNA, 252 nt
Filed under: Lathyrus oleraceus (garden pea)
Lineage: Eukaryota; Viridiplantae; Streptophyta; Magnoliopsida; Fabales; Fabaceae
Description: Pisum sativum (pea) long non-coding RNA (PSAT_LNC011510)
Source: RNAcentral